This 432-nucleotide ribosomal RNA is filed under the name uncultured bacterium. Its description in RNAcentral is "partial 16S ribosomal RNA". It matches the Rfam family "Bacterial small subunit ribosomal RNA", at positions 29 to 507 of the family's 1533-position model. The record is from RNAcentral.
AGCGAACGCUGGCGGCAGGCCUAACACAUGCAAGUCGAACGAACUCUUCGGAGUUAGUGGCGGACGGGUGAGUAACACGUGGGAACGUGCCUUUAGGUUCGGAAUAACUCAGGGAAACUUGUGCUAAUACCGAAUGUGCCCUUCGGGGGAAAGAUUUAUCGCCUUUAGGGCGGCCCGCGUCUGAUUAGCUAGUUGGUGAGGUAAAGGCUCACCAAGGCGACGAUCCGUAGCUGGUCUGAGGGGACGAUCAGCCACAUUGGGACUGAGACACGGCCCAAAUCCCGACGGAAGGGAGCAGUGGGGAUCCUGCCGAACUGGGCGAAUGCCGAAGGCAGCCAGGCCGGGUAAAUAUUGAGGGGCGAAGGAUGGGAAAUUGCUUCACCGGGGACGAUAAUGACGGUACCCGGAGAAGAAGCCCCGGCUAACUUCGUG